This 432-nucleotide ribosomal RNA is filed under the name uncultured bacterium. RNAcentral's name for it is "bacterial SSU rRNA". It matches the Rfam family "Bacterial small subunit ribosomal RNA", at positions 30 to 506 of the family's 1533-position model. The record is from RNAcentral.
CGAACGCUGGCGGCAGGCUUAACACAUGCAAGUCGAGCGGGCGUAGCAAUACGUCAGCGGCAGACGGGUGAGUAACGCGUGGGAACGUACCUUUUGGUUCGGAACAACACAGGGAAACUUGUGCUAAUACCGGAUAAGCCCUUACGGGGAAAGAUUUAUCGCCGAAAGAUCGGCCCGCGUCUGAUUAGCUAGUUGGUGAGGUAACGGCUCACCAAGGCGACGAUCAGUAGCUGGUCUGAGAGGAUGAUCAGCCACAUUGGGACUGAGACACGGCCCAAACUCCUACGGGAGGCAGCAGUGGGGAAUAUUGGACAAUGGGCGAAAGCCUGAUCCAGCCAUGCCGCGUGAGUGAUGAAGGCCCUAGGGUUGUAAAGCUCUUUUGUGCGGGAAGAUAAUGACGGUACCGCAAGAAUAAGCCCCGGCUAACUUCGU